RNAcentral lists this ribosomal RNA (468 nucleotides) under uncultured bacterium. Its description in RNAcentral is "partial 16S ribosomal RNA". It matches the Rfam family "Bacterial small subunit ribosomal RNA", at positions 28 to 507 of the family's 1533-position model. The record is from RNAcentral.
GACGAACGCUGGCGGCGUGCUUAACACAUGCAAGUCGAACGGAAAGGCCCUGCUUUUGUGGGGUGCUCGAGUGGCGAACGGGUGAGUAACACGUGAGUAACCUGCCCUUGACUUUGGGAUAACUUCAGGAAACUGGGGCUAAUACCGGAUAGGAGCUCCUGCUGCAUGGUGGGGGUUGGAAAGUUUCGGCGGUUGGGGAUGGACUCGCGGCUUAUCAGCUUGUUGGUGGGGUAGUGGCUUACCAAGGCUUUGACGGGUAGCCGGCCUGUGAGGGUGACCGGCCACAUGGGGACUGAGAUACGGCACAGACUCCUACGGGAGGCAGCAGUGGGGAAUAUUGCACAAUGGGCGGAAGCCUGAUGCAGCAACGCCGCGUGCGGGAUGACGGCCUUCGGGUUGUAAACCGCUUUCGCCUGUGACGAAGCGUGAGUGACGGUAAUGGGUAAAGAAGCACCGGCUAACUACGUG